Molecule: ribosomal RNA, 263 nt
Filed under: uncultured bacterium
Lineage: Bacteria
Description: partial 16S ribosomal RNA
Rfam family: Bacterial small subunit ribosomal RNA
Source: RNAcentral
UACGUAGGGGGCAAGCGUUGUCCGGAAUUACUGGGCGUAAAGGGAGCGCAGGCGGUCUUUUAAGUAGGAUGUGAAAUACCCGGGCUUAACCUGGGGGGUGCAUCCUAAACUGGGGGACUUGAGUGUGGGAGAGGAAAGUGGAAUUCCUAGUGUAGCGGUGAAAUGCGUAGAUAUUAGGAGGAACACCAGUGGCGAAGGCGGCUUUCUGGACCAUAACUGACGCUGAGGCUCGAAAGCGUGGGGAGCAAACAGGAUUAGAUACC